AGGCUGGCUACCGGGAAAACCGGUCACUUCGAUCCCGGCGAUUCCCGCUAUGUAUAUAACUGGCAUCCCCUUUUUCUUCAUUCUUCUUCCUCUUUCUCUCUCGGAUUUUCAAUUCUCCGAAUUCACAGCGAAGCGAAGGCUGUAGCUUCCGUUACUUGUCUGGUUUCAGCUUCUUUUCCGCUUUUCAAGGGUCUUCUGCAAAUUGUUGAAAUAGCGACCAGGAUCGCAGAUCACAGGCA
Non-coding RNA from Benincasa hispida (wax gourd), 239 nucleotides. The record is from RefSeq and is a predicted model, not a curated record. NCBI's taxonomy places the organism in Eukaryota, Viridiplantae, Streptophyta, Magnoliopsida, Cucurbitales, Cucurbitaceae.